GAUGAAAAACGUAGCGAAAUGCGAUACGUAGUGUGAAUUGCAGAAUUCAGUGAAUCAUCGAAUCUUUGAACGCACAUUGCACCUCUCGGUAUUCCGGGAGGUAUGCCUGUUCGAGCGUCAUUUGUACCCUCAAGCUCUGCUUGGUGUUGGGUGUUUGUUCCGCCUCUGUGUGUGAACUCGCCUCAAAACAAUUGGCAGCCGGCGUACUUGUUUCGGAGCGCAGCACAUUUUGCGAUCCAGAUCAACGUACAGCGGCAUCCAAGAAGCCUUAUUUAACGCUCUUGACCUCGGAUCAGGUAGGGAUACCCGCUGAACUUAAGCAUAUCAAUAAGCGGAGGA
This 339-nucleotide unclassified non-coding RNA is filed under the name soil metagenome. RNAcentral describes it as "partial contains 5.8S ribosomal RNA, internal transcribed spacer 2, and large subunit ribosomal RNA". The stretch from base 1 to 120 matches the Rfam family "5.8S ribosomal RNA", at positions 35 to 154 of the family's 154-position model. The record is from RNAcentral.